UUAGAGUUUGAUCCUGGCUCAGGACGAACGCUGGCGGCGCGCCUAACACAUGCAAGUCGAACGAGAGAUGAGGAGCUUGCUCUUCAAAUCGAGUGGCGAACGGGUGAGUAACGCGUGAGGAACCUGCCUCGAAGAGGGGGACAACAGUUGGAAACGACUGCUAAUACCGCAUAAGCCCACGGCUCGGCAUCGAGCAGAGGGAAAAGGAGCAAUCCGCUUUGAGAUGGCCUCGCGUCCGAUUAGCUAGUUGGUGAGGUAACGGCCCACCAAGGCGACGGUCGGUAGCCGGACUGAGAGGUUGAACGGCCACAUUGGGACUGAGACACGGCCCAGACUCCUACGGGAGGCAGCAGUGGGGAAUAUUGCACAAUGGGGGAAACCCUGAUGCAGCGACGCCGCGUGGAGGAAGAAGGCUUUCGGGUUGUAAACUUCUUUUAUGAGGGACGAAGGAAGUGACGGUACCUCAUGAAUAAGCUCCGGCUAACUACGUGCCAGCAGCCGCGGUAAUACGUAGGGAGCGAGCGUUAUCCGGAUUUACUGGGUGUAAAGGGCGUGUAGGCGGGGAAGCAAGUCAGAUGUGAAAACCAGUGGCUCAACCACUGGCCUGCAUUUGAAACUGUUUUUCUUGAGUGAUGGAGAGGCAGGCGGAAUUCCGUGUGUAGCGGUGAAAUGCGUAGAUAUACGGAGGAACACCAGUGGCGAAGGCGGCCUGCUGGACAUUAACUGACGCUGAGGCUCGAAAGUGUGGGUAGCAAACAGGAUUAGAUACCCUGGUAGUCCACACCGUAAACGAUGAUUACUAGGUGUUGGAGGAUUGACCCCUUCAGUGCCGCAGUUAACACAAUAAGUAAUCCACCUGGGGAGUACGACCGCAAGGUUGAAACUCAAAGGAAUUGACGGGGGCCCGCACAAGCAGUGGAGUAUGUGGUUUAAUUCGACGCAACGCGAAGAACCUUACCAAGUCUUGACAUCCCUUGACGAUGCUGGAAACAGUAUUUCUCUUCGGAGCAAGGAGACAGGUGGUGCAUGGUUGUCGUCAGCUCGUGUCGUGAGAUGUUGGGUUAAGUCCCGCAACGAGCGCAACCCUUAUGGUCAGUUACUACGCAAGAGGACUCUGGCCAGACUGCCGUUGACAAAACGGAGGAAGGUGGGGAUGACGUCAAAUCAUCAUGCCCUUUAUGACUUGGGCUACACACGUACUACAAUGGCGUUAAACAAAGAGAAGCAAGACCGCGAGGUGGAGCAAAACUCAGAAACAACGUCCCAGUUCGGACUGCAGGCUGCAACUCGCCUGCACGAAGUCGGAAUUACUAGUAAUCGUGGAUCAGCAUGCCACGGUGAAUACGUUCCCGGGCCUUGCACACACCGCCCGUCA
RNAcentral lists this ribosomal RNA (1375 nucleotides) under uncultured bacterium. RNAcentral's name for it is "16S ribosomal RNA". It matches the Rfam family "Bacterial small subunit ribosomal RNA". The record is from RNAcentral.